GAUGAACGCUGGCGGCGUGCUUAACACAUGCAAGUCGAACGGAAAGGCCGAAGCUUGCUUCGGUACUCGAGUGGCGAACGGGUGAGUAACACGUGGGUGAUCUGCCCUGUACUUCGGGAUAAGCUUUGGAAACUGGGUCUAAUACCGGAUAUGACGAUCUCUUGGAUGGGGUUGUGGAAAGCUUUUGCGGUAUGGGAUGAGCUCGCGGCCUAUCAGCUUGUUGGUGGGGUAAUGGCCUACCAAGGCGUCGACGGGUAGCCGGCCUGAGAGGGUGUACGGCCACAUUGGGACUGAGAUACGGCCCAGACUCCUACGGGAGGCAGCAGUGGGGAAUAUUGCACAAUGGGCGCAAGCCUGAUGCAGCGACGCCGCGUGGGGGAUGACGGCCUUCGGGUUGUAAACUCCUUUCGCAAUCGACGAAGCCUUUUGGUGACGGUAGGUUGAGAAGAAGCACCGGCUAACUACGUG
RNAcentral lists this ribosomal RNA (468 nucleotides) under uncultured bacterium. RNAcentral describes it as "partial 16S ribosomal RNA". It matches the Rfam family "Bacterial small subunit ribosomal RNA", at positions 28 to 507 of the family's 1533-position model. The record is from RNAcentral.